Molecule: long non-coding RNA, 1229 nt
Organism: Oncorhynchus keta (chum salmon)
Lineage: Eukaryota; Metazoa; Chordata; Actinopteri; Salmoniformes; Salmonidae
Exons: 4
Source: RefSeq, a predicted model, not a curated record
AGUUCAUAUUUAUUGUAAUUAAAGUCACUUUACAUGGAGAGGUAAUCAGCGAGUUAAAAAAAAGAAGUAAUAAAAUCCCACAUUCAAAAAAUGAAGUAUAUAAAAGUACACUGAACAUAAGAACAGACUGACCAGGGAAAACACUAAACAUGAUGACAGACUAAUCUGGGAAGUGAACUAGACGGGGUUAAAACGAAGACAACAGUGAAUCUGAUAGGAACACCCCAUCUACCCCAUCCAGUAACCCCAGCCCUCCACUCUCCCUCUUUCUCUCCCUCCCCCUGGGUAACCGGACCCAGAGGCCCCCGGAGGCCCUUUUUGUGCCUGGAGGAGAGGCUUGGUGCUGGCUCGCUUGCUGAAGAGAGAGAGGGUGGUCAGAGAGCAGGAUGGAGAGAAGGAUGAAGAUGGGGGAGGAGAGAGCGAGGCGGAGCUGCAUCUGGAUGCUUUGUCGCCUACGUCUCAGAUCUACCUGCACCUGCAAAUCUCCUGGAACAGUUACAUUAUAAGGUCGACGUUGCUGUUGGACCCCCUCUACAGAAGGAGAUGCAAUGUCAUGUUGAACACCUCAACACAGAAACAACCCCCAAUUAGGUACUUUCCAAUACUGUUCUCCAAAUCAGCCAACGUGUUGUUCCAUGGUCACUCCCUCCCCUGUCGGUCUGUAGUUGGGAGCGUACAGCCCACCUGUUCCACCAGCUGAGUGGUGAUUUGCUUGAGGAGGCCAUCAGUCUGGAGAGCCUAUAUCUGCUCCUCCAGGAGCUCUGCAAUGCAGCAUCACCUGCAGGAAACUCUUCUGGAGGUCCAAUGACAUGUUUCCAUUCCUGGUGCGGAUGCUGGAACAGGCUGGAGACCAACACAGCAGACAGCCUACUGUGAGUGACACUGUGUGUGUGUGGGUGUGUGUGAGCACAAAGCUGACAGCCUACUGUGAGUGACACUGUGUGUGUGUGGGUGUGUGUGAGCACAAAGCUGACAGCCUACUGUGAGUGACACUGUGUGUGUGUGGGUGUGUGUGAGCACAAAGCUGACAGCCUACUGUGAGUGACACUGUGUGUGUGUGGGUGUGUGUGAGCACAAAGCUGACAGCCUACUGUGAGUGACACUGUGUGUGUGUGGGUGUGUGUGAGCACAAAGCUGACAGCCUACUGUGAGUGACACUGUGUGUGUGUGGGUGUGUGUGAGCAAAAAGCUGACAGCCUACUGUGAGUGACACUGUGUGCGUGUGUGUG